This 609-nucleotide ribosomal RNA is filed under the name uncultured bacterium. RNAcentral describes it as "bacterial SSU rRNA". It matches the Rfam family "Bacterial small subunit ribosomal RNA", at positions 333 to 933 of the family's 1533-position model. The record is from RNAcentral.
AGACUCCUACGGGAGGCAGCAGUGGGGAAUAUUGCACAAUGGGCGAAAGCCUGAUGCAGCAAUGCCGCGUGUGUGAAGAAGGCCUGCGGGUUGUAAAGCACUUUUAUCAGGAAAGAAAAAACCGGAACUAAUAUUUCCGGCAUUGACGGUACCUGAAGAAUAAGCACCGGCUAACUAAGUGCCAGCAGCCGCGGUAAUACUUAGGGUGCGAGCGUUAAUCGGAAUUACUGGGCGUAAAGCGAGUGUAGGCGGCUGUAUAAGUCGGAUGUGAAAGCCCUGGGCUCAACCUGGGAAUUGCAUUCGAAACUGUACAGCUAGAGUUUGGUAGAGGUAAGUGGAAUUCAAGGUGUAGCGGUGAAAUGCGUAGAUAUCUUGAGGAACAUCAGUGGCGAAGGCGGCUUACUGGACCAAAACUGACGCUGAGGCUCGAAAGCGUGGGGGAGCAAACAGGAUUAGAUACCCUGGUAGUCCACGCCCUAAACGAUGUCAACUAGACGUUGGGUUCAUUAAGGAACUUAGUGUCGAAGCUAACGCGUUAAGUUGACCGCCUGGGGAGUACGGCCGCAAGGUUGAAACUCAAAGGAAUUGACGGGGGCCCGCACAAGCGGU